GGUUAAGCGACUAAGCGUACACGGUGGAUGCCCUGGCAGUCAGAGGCGAUGAAGGACGUGCUAAUCUGCGAAAAGCGUCGGUAAGGUGAUAUGAACCGUUAUAACCGGCGAUGUCCGAAUGGGGAAACCCAGUGCAAUUCGUUGCACUAUCGUUAACUGAAUACAUAGGUUAACGAGGCGAACCGGGGGAACUGAAACAUCUAAGUACCCCGAGGAAAAGAAAUCAACCGAGAUUCCCCCAGUAGCGGCGAGCGAACGGGGAGCAGCCCAGAGUCUGAAUCAGCUUGUGUGUUAGUGGAACGGUCUGGAAAGUCCGACGGUACAGGGUGAUAGUCCCGUACACCAAAAUGCACAGGCUGUGAACUCGAAGAGUAGGGCGGGACACGUGGUAUCCUGUCUGAAUAUGGGGGGACCAUCCUCCAAGGCUAAAUACUCCUGACUGACCGAUAGUGAACCAGUACCGUGAGGGAAAGGCGAAAAGAACCCCGGCGAGGGGAGUGAAAAAGAACCUGAAACCGUGUACGUACAAGCAGUGGGAGCACCUUCGGGUGUGACUGCGUACCUUUUGUAUAAUGGGUCAGCGACUUAUAUUCUGUAGCAAGGUUAACCGUAUAGGGGAGCCGCAGGGAAACCGAGUCUUAACUGGGCGUUAAGUUGCAGGGUAUAGACCCGAAACCCGGUGAUCUAGCCAUGGGCAGGUUGAAGGUUGGGUAACACUAACUGGAGGACCGAACCGACUAAUGUUGAAAAAUUAGCGGAUGACUUGUGGCUGGGGGUGAAAGGCCAAUCAAACCGGGAGAUAGCUGGUUCUCCCCGAAAGCUAUUUAGGUAGCGCCUCGUGAACUCAUCUUCGGGGGUAGAGCACUGUUUCGGCUAGGGGGUCAUCCCGACUUACCAACCCGAUGCAAACUACGAAUACCGAAGAAUGUUAUCACGGGAGACACACGGCGGGUGCUAACGUCCGUCGUGAAGAGGGAAACAACCCAGACCGCCAGCUAAGGUCCCAAAGUCAUGGUUAAGUGGGAAACGAUGUGGGAAGGCACAGACAGCCAGGAUGUUGGCUUAGAAGCAGCCAUCAUUUAAAGAAAGCGUAAUAGCUCACUGGUCGAGUCGGCCUGCGCGGAAGAUGUAACGGGGCUAAACCAUGCACCGAAGCUGCGGCAGCGACACUAUGUGUUGUUGGGUAGGGGAGCGUUCUGUAAGCCUGCGAAGGUGUGCUGUGAGGCAUGCUGGAGGUAUCAGAAGUGCGAAUGCUGACAUAAGUAACGAUAAAGCGGGUGAAAAGCCCGCUCGCCGGAAGACCAAGGGUUCCUGUCCAACGUUAAUCGGGGCAGGGUGAGUCGACCCCUAAGGCGAGGCCGAAAGGCGUAGUCGAUGGGAAACAGGUUAAUAUUCCUGUACUUGGUGUUACUGCGAAGGGGGACGGAGAAGGCUAUGUUAGCCGGGCGACGGUUGUCCCGGUUUAAGCAUGUAGGCUGGUUGUCCAGGCAAAUCCGGAUAAUCAAGGCUGAGGUGUGAUGACGAGGCACUACGGUGCUGAAGUAACAAAUGCCCUGCUUCCAGGAAAAGCCUCUAAGCAUCAGGUAACAUCAAAUCGUACCCCAAACCGACACAGGUGGUCAGGUAGAGAAUACCAAGGCGCUUGAGAGAACUCGGGUGAAGGAACUAGGCAAAAUGGUGCCGUAACUUCGGGAGAAGGCACGCUGGUGUGUAGGUGAAGCCCCUGCGGGUGGAGCUGAGACCAGUCGAAGAUACCAGCUGGCUGCAACUGUUUAUUAAAAACACAGCACUGUGCAAACACGAAAGUGGACGUAUACGGUGUGACGCCUGCCCGGUGCCGGAAGGUUAAUUGAUGGGGUUAUCCGUAAGGAGAAGCUCUUGAUCGAAGCCCCGGUAAACGGCGGCCGUAACUAUAACGGUCCUAAGGUAGCGAAAUUCCUUGUCGGGUAAGUUCCGACCUGCACGAAUGGCGUAAUGAUGGCCAGGCUGUCUCCACCCGAGACUCAGUGAAAUUGAACUCGCUGUGAAGAUGCAGUGUACCCGCGGCAAGACGGAAAGACCCCGUGAACCUUUACUAUAGCUUGACACUGAACAUUGAGCCUUGAUGUGUAGGAUAGGUGGGAGGCUUUGAAGCGUGGACGCCAGUCUGCGUGGAGCCAACCUUGAAAUACCACCCUUUAAUGUUUGAUGUUCUAACGUUGGCCCCUUACCGGGGUUGCGGACAGUGUCUGGUGGGUAGUUUGACUGGGGCGGUCUCCUCCCAAAGCGUAACGGAGGAGCACGAAGGUUAGCUAAUCCUGGUCGGACAUCAGGAGGUUAGUGCAAUGGCAUAAGCUAGCUUGACUGCGAGCGUGACGGCGCGAGCAGGUGCGAAAGCAGGUCAUAGUGAUCCGGUGGUUCUGAAUGGAAGGGCCAUCGCUCAACGGAUAAAAGGUACUCCGGGGAUAACAGGCUGAUACCGCCCAAGAGUUCAUAUCGACGGCGGUGUUUGGCACCUCGAUGUCGGCUCAUCACAUCCUGGGGCUGAAGUAGGUCCCAAGGGUAUGGCUGUUCGCCAUUUAAAGUGGUACGCGAGCUGGGUUUAGAACGUCGUGAGACAGUUCGGUCCCUAUCUGCCGUGGGCGCUGGAGAAUUGAGGGGGCUGCUCCUAGUACGAGAGGACCGGAGUGGACGCAUCACUGGUGUUCGGGUUGUCAUGCCAAUGGCACUGCCCGGUAGCUAAAUGCGGAAGAGAUAAGUGCUGAAAGCAUCUAAGCACGAAACUUGCCCCGAGAUGAGUUCUCCCUGAGACUUUAAGUCUCCUGAAGGAACGUUAAAGACGAUGACGUUGAUAGGCCGGGUGUGUAAGCGCAGCGAUGCGUUGAGCUAACCGGUACUAAUGAACCGUGAGGCUUAACCUU
This 2900-nucleotide ribosomal RNA is filed under the name Klebsiella pneumoniae. Its description in RNAcentral is "23S ribosomal RNA". It matches the Rfam family "Bacterial large subunit ribosomal RNA". Lineage: Bacteria; Pseudomonadati; Pseudomonadota; Gammaproteobacteria; Enterobacterales; Enterobacteriaceae. The record is from RNAcentral.